Molecule: ribosomal RNA, 750 nt
Filed under: uncultured Verrucomicrobiales bacterium
Lineage: Bacteria; Pseudomonadati; Verrucomicrobiota; Verrucomicrobiia; Verrucomicrobiales
Description: bacterial SSU rRNA
Rfam family: Bacterial small subunit ribosomal RNA
Source: RNAcentral
AUACUCGAAUGGUUUAGUGGCGCACGGGUGAGUAACACGUGAAUUACAUGCCCUAUAGUGGGGAAUAGCCCAGGGAAACUUGGAUUAAUACCCCAUGGUCUCGCAAGAGUAAAGGUGGCCGCAAGGCUGUCGCUAUAGGAUUGGUUCGCGCCCUAUCAGCUUGUUGGUGAGGUAACGGCUCACCAAGGCUACGACGGGUACCUGGUCUGAGAGGACGAUCAGGCACACUGGAACUGAGACACGGUCCAGACACCUACGGGUGGCAGCAGUCGAGAAUAAUUCACAAUGGGGGCAACCCUGAUGGUGCAACGCCGCGUGGAGGAUGACGGUCUUCGGAUUGUAAACUCCUGUCAUCCGGGAGUAAGACCUGGGAGUGAACAGCUCACAGGGUUGAUAGUACCGGAAGAGGAAGGGACGGCUAACUUCGUGCCAGCAGCCGCGGUAAUACGAAGGUCCCGAGCGUUGUUCGGAAUCACUGGGCGUAAAGGGAGCGUAGGCGGCGUGGUAAGUCAGAUGUGAAAUCCCGGGGCUCAACCCCGGAACUGCAUCCGAUACUGCCGUGCUAGAGGAUUGGAGAGGUAGCUGGAAUUUACGGUGUAGCAGUGAAAUGCGUGGAUAUCGUAAGGAACACUCGUGGCGAAAGCGAGCUACUGGACAACUCCUGACGCUGAGGCUCGAAGGCCAGGGUAGCGAAAGGGAUUAGAUACCCCUGUAGUCCUGGCAGUAAACGGUGCACGCUUGGUGUGAGGG